CAACCUGAGCUCAGAUGUGAUUACCCGCUGAACUUAAGCAUAUCAUUUAGCGGAGGAAAAGAAACUAACUAGGAUUCCCAAAGUAACGGCGAGUGAACUGGGAAAAGCCCAGCGCUGAAUCUUUCGAUGUUGAAUCGUUAAGAAAUGUAGCGUAUAGGUAUGAUUAUCGGCUUGUUUGGCAUAUCCAAAGUUCCUUUGACAGGGGCCAUAGUCCAGAGAGGGUGCGAGACCUGUGCGGAUAGCGGAACAUACCGUAUGAUUAUACUUUGGAGUCGGGUUGCUUGAAAGUGCAGCCUUAAGUGGGUGAUAAACUUCAUCUAAGGCUAAAUACGGACGCGAAUUCGAUAGCAAACAAGUACUGUGAAGGAAAGUUGCAAAGAACUUUGAAGAGAGAGUUCAAGAGAACGUGAAAUCGUUGAAGUGGAACCGGAGAGAGUUGACGUAGUCUGGUGGAUAAGUAUCAUAAGAAUCGCAUCAGAAUGUGAUCAAGUGAUAUGUAUGUCACCAAUGACUGCGCUGACAGCAUCGACUACACGCUCUGAACCGUGUUGACAUGUUGCCUACUCUACGUUAAAAAUAGAGUGGUGUCUUGUGUUACGUGGUAAGGUUUGUUGUAUGUUGAUGUUGAUAACCAUAAUUAUAUAUAAUUAUAAUUAUGUCAGUGUAAAAGUCAACCACCUCUCCGACCCGUCUCGAAACACGGACCGAGGAGUGUAACUUGUACGCGAGUCAAUGGGUGAAAAACCUUAAGGCGAAAUGAAAGUGAAGGUACGGUUAACCGGCUGACAUGGGAAACGUCCACCUUGUCUUAGUGAGACGUCACACCAUGGCCCUGUCUUGUCUGCAUGCAGAUGGGCAGCGGUAGAGCGUACAGGUUGCGACCCGAAAGAUGGUGAACUAUGCCUGAGCAGGACGAAGUCAGAGGAAACUCUGGUGGAAGUCCGUAUCGGUUCUGACGUGCAAAUCGAUCGAUAGACUUGGGUAUAGGGGCGAAAGACUAAUCGAACCAUC
Molecule: ribosomal RNA, 1011 nt
Filed under: Troglostrongylus brevior
Lineage: Eukaryota; Metazoa; Nematoda; Chromadorea; Rhabditida; Crenosomatidae
Description: eukaryotic LSU rRNA
Rfam family: Eukaryotic large subunit ribosomal RNA
Source: RNAcentral